AGUGAACGCUGGCGGUAGACCUAACACAUGCAAGUCGAACGGCAGCACAGUAAGAGCUUGCUCUUACGGGUGGCGAGUGGCGGACGGGUGAGGAAUACAUCGGAAUCUACUUUUUCGUGGGGGAUAACGUAGGGAAACUUACGCUAAUACCGCAUACGACCUACGGGUGAAAGCAGGGGAUCUUCGGACCUUGCGCGAUUGAAUGAGCCGAUGUCGGAUUAGCUAGUUGGCGGGGUAAAGGCCCACCAAGGCGACGAUCCGUAGCUGGUCUGAGAGGAUGAGCAGCCACACUGGAACUGAGACACGGGCCAGACUCCUACGGGAGGCAGCAGUGGGGAAUAUUGGACAAUGGGCGCAAGCCUGAUCCAGCCAUACCGCGUGGGUGAAGAAGGCCUUCGGGUUGUAAAGCCCUUUUGUUGGGAAAGAAAAGCAGCAGGUUAAUACCCCGCUGUUCUGACGGUACCCAAAGAAUAAGCACCGGCUAACUUCGUG
Molecule: ribosomal RNA, 492 nt
Filed under: uncultured bacterium
Lineage: Bacteria
Description: partial 16S ribosomal RNA
Rfam family: Bacterial small subunit ribosomal RNA
Source: RNAcentral